This 63-nucleotide transfer RNA is filed under the name Ligia oceanica (common sea slater). Its description in RNAcentral is "tRNA-His". The record is from RNAcentral. Lineage: Eukaryota; Metazoa; Arthropoda; Malacostraca; Isopoda; Ligiidae.
ACUGAAGUAGUUUAAUUUAAAACAUUAAGGUGUGGUCUUAAAUAAUAGAGUUCCUCUUUAGUA